This 66-nucleotide transfer RNA is filed under the name Doratura stylata. RNAcentral describes it as "tRNA-Tyr". Lineage: Eukaryota; Metazoa; Arthropoda; Insecta; Hemiptera; Cicadellidae. The record is from RNAcentral.
AUUAAGAUGGCCGAAUUGAAGGUGGUAAACUGUAAAUUUGCUUAUGAAUAUGAAUUUCUCUUAAUA